GUUUAAUAUUCGUAAAGCUAUGGUAAACAAGACCAGAUAAAUAUUUUCUCCAAGAAGAUCUGAAAAACAGAACAAAACAGCUUUAUCUUGCCGUGGGAGCGGUUCUGGAGACCACGCAAAGUGAGGAUAGCAUCUCCGCCCCCCGGCUCCAUUCCGUACUCGCUUAGGGGCCUCCUCAUCCCCGGCCGCCACCUUCCUGAGGCGGAAGAAAGCUGCGGUAGCGCGCUGCUCGUCCAUCCAUUAAGUUUGACCUUUGCGAGCAGCCGUCGCUCGGAAGCCCGGAAGUGACCGGAACUGGCAACUUCGUCGCUCCCACCCGACGUGGUGACCCGCCUACCGUUUCUUUUCGCCGUUUCCGAACCGAGGGAUCGCUACUCGCCUUUGGCUUGGCGGUCACUGUGCUCGGGGGUCCGAAAACUGCCGGAAGGAGCCCGGUUUCUGGAGGGGAGCAGGCGGUAGCGAGUUUAGCGACGUGGAGCAGGCGCAGAACAGUCGGAGGUGCCUGAGUGGUUAUUAAAAAUGAUUUGAAGAGAUUUCCUGGGUGUGGAGUGUAACUUUCCAAAACCACCUUUUCCUUGAGCUUUAUUUGUUGCAGCAAUGUUUAGGAGAUUGACUUUUGCACAACUGCUUUUUGCCACUAUCCUUGGAAUUGCUGGAGGAGUAUAUAUUUUUCAACCAAUAUUUGAACAGUAUGCCAAAGAUCAGAAGGAAUUAAAAGAAAGGGUGCAGCUGAUACAAGAAUCAGAAGAGAAGAAAAGUUAAUACUACAUGGAGUUAGGCCGGGCGCAGUGGCUCACGCCUGUAAUCCCAGCACUUUGGGAGGCCGAGGAGGGUGGAUCACAAGGUCAGGAGUUCGAGACCAGCCUGACCAACAUGGUGAAACCCUGUCUCUACUAAAAAUACAAAAAUCAGCCAGGCUUGGUGGCGUGCGCCUGUAAUCCCAGCUCGGGAGGCUGAGGCAGGAGCAUCACUUGAACCUGGGAGGCGAAGGUGGCAGUGAGUCAAGAUCACGCUGCUGCACUCCAGCCUGGGUGACAGAGCGAGACUCCAUCUAAAAAAAAAAAAAAAAAAAAAAAAAAAAAUACCUCAUGGAGAUGAACCAUAAUAAUUGCUUAAAGUUCCAUUUAAUUAUGUUAACUCUAAAUAAUCUAGCAAAAACAUAGAUGUAUUUAAAAAUAAAUCAUGGAUAAUGAUUUUUUAACCU
This is an RNA transcript of Nomascus leucogenys (northern white-cheeked gibbon), 1204 nucleotides long. It is a transcript of the gene named PIGB opposite strand 1, with no coding region annotated. The record is from RefSeq and is a predicted model, not a curated record. Lineage: Eukaryota; Metazoa; Chordata; Mammalia; Primates; Hylobatidae. The transcript has 3 exons.